Molecule: long non-coding RNA, 674 nt
Organism: Branchiostoma belcheri (Belcher's lancelet)
Lineage: Eukaryota; Metazoa; Chordata; Leptocardii; Amphioxiformes; Branchiostomatidae
Exons: 3
Source: RefSeq, a predicted model, not a curated record
AUUGAACAGCGACGCCAUGUUGUAAAUUCCUCUACAAGUAGAACAGUUUAGUCUACAAAUUAUCAAAGACAUCCUAUCUCCCUGCGAUAAGAUGCGGUCAAGAAAGAGCGGUAGAGGUGUCAGGAUUCCGGCUCGUUUCAGACGGAUGAGGGAUGAGAUCAAAAAAGUGGAGCAAAGCAUCUAAAGUGUGGGAAUAGCUGUCGAGUUGGGAGACAGCGGAAUACCGGCUGCAGCACGCCUGAGACAUUCCUGUGCCAUUGUUGGAGGAGUGUAUGGUGGAACCCAUUCUGCCUGGCAAGGUGACCAGGGUGGGGGAUGCGGACUUUGUCCAGGUGAAGAUCGUGAAACAUUGCCUGCGGGGUUGCCUUCAGCUCAUCUCUGCCCCACUGAACUACUUUUAUAAGAGCUAAUGGAUGUUGGGGGGGGGAUAAUUGUCUAGAUUUAAAAAACAGUCAUAUGUUUUUUUUCUUAACAGCAUGUAGACAAUAUAAUGUAUAUAGAAAUGUCUCUAUUUGUUGAUUUCAUGUUUGUUACUGUUAGUUAUCUUGUAAAGGCUAGCACACACUGCCAUCUGUGAGUUAGGUCACUUUUUGUAUCAGUUACUAGUAUUUUGUUGUAACAUAAUGAUGUGUUCUUUAUGCUUCAUAAUAUUAAAAAAAUUCUGUCAAGACCCA